This 492-nucleotide ribosomal RNA is filed under the name uncultured bacterium. Its description in RNAcentral is "partial 16S ribosomal RNA". It matches the Rfam family "Bacterial small subunit ribosomal RNA", at positions 29 to 507 of the family's 1533-position model. The record is from RNAcentral.
AGUGAACGCUGGCGGUAGGCCUAACACAUGCAAGUCGAACGGCAGCACAGUAAGAGCUUGCUCUUACGGGUGGCGAGUGGCGGACGGGUGAGGAAUACAUCGGAAUCUACUUUUUCGUGGGGGAUAACGUAGGGAAACUUACGCUAAUACCGCAUACGACCUACGGGUGAAAGCAGGGGAUCUUCGGACCUUGCGCGAUUGAAUGAGCCGAUGUCGGAUUAGCUAGUUGGCGGGGUAAAGGCCCACCAAGGCGACGAUCCGUAGCUGGUCUGAGAGGAUGAUCAGCCACACUGGAACUGAGACACGGUCCAGACUCCUACGGGAGGCAGCAGUGGGGAAUAUUGGACAAUGGGCGCAAGCCUGAUCCAGCCAUACCGCGUGGGUGAAGAAGGCCUUCGGGUUGUAAGGCCCUUUUGUUGGGAAAGAAAAGCAGCAGGUUAAUACCCCGCUGUCCUGACGGUACCCAAAGAAUAAGCACCGGCUAACUUCGUG